Paramormyrops kingsleyae is the source of this 748-nucleotide non-coding RNA. The record is from RefSeq and is a predicted model, not a curated record. NCBI's taxonomy places the organism in Eukaryota, Metazoa, Chordata, Actinopteri, Osteoglossiformes, Mormyridae.
CAAUGUAUUAAGCAUGUGCUGUCUGUUUGCCCCUUGGUCCUGAGUUCCCUCUUGUCUUGUGUUCGAAUCCCACCUCCUCUGUCUUUGUAUUUAGCUCCCUGGUUUUUUCCUUUGUGCUUGUUAAACCCUGGUGUCUGAUUUAGUAAUCGGUUUUGGUUUUGUUUCUUGUUCCCCUGCCUGUGUUAUUCCUAUGUACUUCCCUAGUGUUGAUAUAUGCAUUCUUGGUUAGUUCUUAGUUUCCCUGAUUGUUAGUUUCUUUGAGUUAAUUGGUUUCACCUGUGUCUUGUUUCCCUAGUCCUUGUUAAUCAGUCUCACCUGCCCUGUGUUAGUCAUUACCCCUUGUAGUAUAUUAGUUCCUGCCUUUGUUCUGCUCCCCGCUGGUUCAUCGUGUCUAAACUAUUGUCUAAGCUCGUGUCUCUGUCUACGUUUGUCUGUGACAAGGCAAGAAAGGUGGAGCUACAGGUUCUCACAAACAACUGACCUCGAUAAUGAAGGAGUAUUAAAGGGUUAGAGGAGAGACCGGCAGAAGCAGACAGUACUGGCUGAGCACUCAUUCUAGGCCUCCUUACUGACAGACACUAUAAUGGCAAAGUACUUCCAAGCCCUUAUUCUACUUGGAGCUCUUCUGGUAGGAGCGAUAGCUGAUGAGAAUGUUUCCCUGGUGAGGAAAGGCGCUAAUGGCCAGUACCACAUCAUCGUGAUGGACAUCAAGGCCCAGGUUGCCGUGGAGUAUGUGGACGCUGGGAAG